Long non-coding RNA from Nerophis ophidion (straightnose pipefish), 632 nucleotides. RefSeq lists it as uncharacterized. The record is from RefSeq and is a predicted model, not a curated record. Lineage: Eukaryota; Metazoa; Chordata; Actinopteri; Syngnathiformes; Syngnathidae. The transcript has 2 exons.
GCGGGCACCGCGUUGGUGACCCCUGGUGUGUGUGUUUCAACCAGAAUGAACAAACGGUCCAACAUGGUCGUCACCAAAUGCUGAAAAGCUGAAUGUCUCCCCCGAACUCUCCAUUCUUGUUGUACUUGCAUCCUGCACUGGAUGCUAUGAGGCCAUGUUGCUUCAAUGGAAUGAAAGCUUUAUGACAGGCAAUACAUUAGAAAUGCAGUGUAGUACAUCAUCAAUUAUAGGCGUACAUAAUUGGGCUGUACUUACUAUGCUUUUCCUCCACAUUCUCACAUUUUUCGGCUUUCUUUGCAGAAGCAGACUGGAAGUGCCGGAACCACUCCUCUUUCUCCCGCCCCGUGUUGGCAAACAGAGUGAGGCGGAUGGGGUACUUUUUGUUCCAGACCUUCGUCGGAGCCAGAUCCGUGGGUUCAAGCGUGACCUAUAGUGGGAAGUCAACAUGGAUGACAUGGCAGGCAACUUUUCAUUGGUACGUUCAAUUAAGAGCAGAAAAAAACCUACCUCACAGUUGGCCAGCUGGUAAGUAUGGGAAUGCAUGAAUUUGCUCUCAUGGGGUACCCCGUCAGAUGUUUGGGGGUAUGACAAGCACAGCUCGCUGCUGUCCAGCCUGGCAAGUACGUGUUGGG